This 253-nucleotide ribosomal RNA is filed under the name uncultured bacterium. RNAcentral describes it as "partial 16S ribosomal RNA". It matches the Rfam family "Bacterial small subunit ribosomal RNA", at positions 524 to 776 of the family's 1533-position model. The record is from RNAcentral.
UACGUAGGUGGCAAGCGUUGUCCGGAUUUAUUGGGUUUAAAGGGAGCGUAGGUGGCCUUAUAAGUCAGUGGUGAAAUCUCGCAGCUUAACUGCGAAAUUGCCAUUGAUACUGUAGGGCUUGAGUAUAGUUGCCGUUGGCGGAAUAUGACAUGUAGUGGUGAAAUACAUAGAGAUGUCAUAGAACACCGAUUGCGAAGGCAGCUGACGAAACUAUAACUGACACUGAGGCUCGAAAGUGCGGGGAUCAAACAGG